Molecule: ribosomal RNA, 464 nt
Filed under: Vreelandella stevensii
Lineage: Bacteria; Pseudomonadati; Pseudomonadota; Gammaproteobacteria; Oceanospirillales; Halomonadaceae
Description: partial 16S ribosomal RNA
Rfam family: Bacterial small subunit ribosomal RNA
Source: RNAcentral
CCUCGGGGGGCAGCAGUGGGGAAUAUUGGACAAUGGGCGAAAGCCUGAUCCAGCCAUGCCGCGUGUGUGAAGAAGGCCUUCGGGUUGUAAAGCACUUUCAGUGGGGAAGAAAGCCUUGGGGCUAAUACCCUCGAGGAAGGACAUCACCCACAGAAGAAGCACCGGCUAACUCCGUGCCAGCAGCCGCGGUAAUACGGAGGGUGCGAGCGUUAAUCGGAAUUACUGGGCGUAAAGCGCGCGUAGGCGGUCUGAUAAGCCGGUUGUGAAAGCCCCGGGCUCAACCUGGGAACGGCAUCCGGAACUGUCAGGCUAGAGUGCAGGAGAGGAAGGUAGAAUUCCCGGUGUAGCGGUGAAAUGCGUAGAGAUCGGGAGGAAUACCAGUGGCGAAGGCGGCCUUCUGGACUGACACUGACGCUGAGGUGCGAAAGCGUGGGUAGCAAACAGGAUUAGAUACCCGGGUAGUC